AUUGAACGCUGGCGGCAGGCCUAACACAUGCAAGUCGAGCGGAUGAAGGGAGCUUGCUCCUGGAUUCAGCGGCGGACGGGUGAGUAAUGCCUAGGAAUCUGCCUGGUAGUGGGGGAUAACGUCCGGAAACGGGCGCUAAUACCGCAUACGUCCUGAGGGAGAAAGUGGGGGAUCUUCGGACCUCACGCUAUCAGAUGAGCCUAGGUCGGAUUAGCUAGUUGGUGGGGUAAAGGCCUACCAAGGCGACGAUCCGUAACUGGUCUGAGAGGAUGAUCAGUCAAACUGGAACUGAAAAAACGGUCCGACUCCUAAGGGGAGGCACAGUGGGGAAUAUUGGGCAAAGGGGGGAAGGCUGAUCCAACCCAGGCGGGGGUGGUGAGGAAGGUCUUCGGUUGUUAAGGCAUUUAAGUUGGGGGGAAGGGCAGUAAGUUUAUACCCUGCCGUUUUGACGUUACCAACAGAAUAAGCACCGGCUAACUUCGUG
Molecule: ribosomal RNA, 484 nt
Filed under: uncultured bacterium
Lineage: Bacteria
Description: partial 16S ribosomal RNA
Rfam family: Bacterial small subunit ribosomal RNA
Source: RNAcentral